CUCCAACUGAUGAGUCUCAAAUAGGACGAAACACGAGUCCUGGAU
RNAcentral lists this non-coding RNA (45 nucleotides) under Schistosoma haematobium. The record is from RNAcentral. Lineage: Eukaryota; Metazoa; Platyhelminthes; Trematoda; Strigeidida; Schistosomatidae.